Molecule: non-coding RNA, 209 nt
Organism: Cyanistes caeruleus (blue tit)
Lineage: Eukaryota; Metazoa; Chordata; Aves; Passeriformes; Paridae
Source: RefSeq, a predicted model, not a curated record
CAUUUAAAUUGUAUUGUCUUUCCAGGCCUACACGAGCGUUUCUAAAGCUUCGCUUGGUCUCGCGGACCACAGAGAGCUAGGAAAAAUGAUGAACACGAUCAUUUUCCACACAAAAAUGGUAGAUUCUUUGGUGGAGAUGUUGGUUGAAACCUCAGAUCUUUCUAUCUUCUGUUUUUAUAGUCGUGCUUUUGAGAAGAUGUUUCAGCAGU